RNAcentral lists this long non-coding RNA (1773 nucleotides) under Medicago truncatula (barrel medic). RNAcentral's name for it is "long non-coding RNA (MTRU_LNC000275)". Lineage: Eukaryota; Viridiplantae; Streptophyta; Magnoliopsida; Fabales; Fabaceae. The record is from RNAcentral.
UCACUUUUAUUUACAAAUUUAUCACUCUUUACUCAAUUAAAUAAAGUUUUUUGAAUAAUCAUAUAAGAUAUAAAUCUUCUCACCUAAAAAAAAAAAGAUAUAAAUUAUUUGGUGGCUUGGCCCUUGGGCAGGUCUUGAAUCUACAUUAUUUGGUGGCUACAGAUAACCAAGCUUAUUACAUUGACCCAAUCAACUACAUGAUGGUGACCUAAAAGAUCAACAAAUUUUCUGUAUAGCUGCAAAGUAUAACCAAGCUGCACUAUUUGGUGACUAUGGAUUCUUUCCAAUUUCCUUUUUCUCCCACAAGGUUUUAAAUCAUAUUCACGUAACUAUCAUGAUUCUAUCGCAAUCUGUGAUACUAUACUGCAGAGUAUCACAUCAAAUGUGGUUGAUACAGACUCAAUGUGUUGUAGUUGUGGUAACUUUAAAACCAAUAAUGCCACAUUCAAGAUUACAGUUACAAACCUUAUUCUUAAACAGUGCGAUUGACGUCGUGUUAGCCACAUGGACACCCUCAAGAAAAAUCACCAUCACCACUCUCCCUGAAAAUCUCAGUCUACUAGCAAUACCAAUCAAGAAUAUAUGGCAAUAAAAUACUUGGACUUUAUAACACAAUUUCAAAAACAAACACAAUUGUUCUAUCUAAAGAACCACACAGAUCAUGUAAUGUAAACACCGGCAGCGGAGGAAUUGUCAAUGAUUGCAAUGAUUUAAAUAUAACUAAUUCAUAUUGAAAUAAACUUCUUAAUUACAUAUUUAAUAGAUUCUGCAAUAUCUUUUUAAUAACUCAAAAGCAUUUAAACUUAGUCUUGAAUAGUCAACUCUCCACAGUCUGCACAACACUUAUGAAUAAACCUAUAAACUUAACAAGAUUAGGAUCUAGAAGUUUCCAAGAUUGUUUAUUUCAUCCUAGUAGCCAAAAUAUUUCUUCCUGCAAUCCAUAUAAUAUUUCAUCCUGCAAGGCACAAUAAAAAACAAGAACAAAAUAUACUAGUAAGCAAGCAAUCAAUUUUGAACACAUUAAAAUAACAAUGCCAAUUAUGAAAUUAAAGGAGGAAACAAUGUGGAACAAGUGAUUAGACCAAGUUAUUUUACCCCAAUUAUGACUGCAAUUAUCCUCAAUAUCAAAAAAAUCACGAUGCAAUUGCAAUAUUUAAAACAAAUAGUAUUUCAGAAUUUUGAAAACAUUAUUAUGAGAGAAAUUGAACAUAUAUUUAUGAGAUGAUGGGAUACUGAACCUGAUAUUGGGGAUAAAACUGUUCUUGAAAUCGAGAAAUUAGCAGUUUUUGAAGCUUCGAGGCUUGCAUUUUGGUUGCUUUGAUUGUUCCUUUUAAUGCUUCCAUUGAUUUGCAAUGGUUGAGAAAUUAAACGGAUGGUGCGAAGGUUGUUCAGAGAUAUUGAAGCCACAAUUGAGGGUUUAUGGUUUCACAAGCAAUAUAGUUAUAAUAUUUCAAUUUAUAAAGUGUAAACCGCUUUAAAACCUGAAACUUGGCCACGAAAUAAGUGUAAGCAGCUUUCGAAACCUGAAACUUCUUGGCCAAGAAAUACAUCAACAAAAAGAAAAACUUCUUCGCCAAGAAAAUAAAGUAUAUCUUAUGUUUUUCAGAAUACGUGUCUGCAUCAUUGCAUGCCAAAGAAUUAGCUAAUUAGAAAGGCAUAUUGUUAAUAGCGAUUAAACAGACAAUUAUGGAUGAAAUUGGGUUCAAACGCAUUUUUUCAAACGUUUCUAAAUAGCGAAUUUUAUGUUAAGUUCUUAAGAUUUGUUAAUUUUAG